This 1533-nucleotide long non-coding RNA is filed under the name Phoenix dactylifera (date palm). RNAcentral describes it as "long non-coding RNA (PDAC_LNC007734)". Lineage: Eukaryota; Viridiplantae; Streptophyta; Magnoliopsida; Arecales; Arecaceae. The record is from RNAcentral.
UGAGUUGCCAAGAAGUUGCUUUUCCAGACAUACAACAAAGUAGCCUCUGUUAAUUAAUUAGAAGUCCAACUUAAAAUACAACAAAGGAGCCACCAUAAAUACACCAAAUCUUAGCAGCUAUAGCACCUUUAGUCUUAAGGUUUAGAUAGUUGGUCCCUUCGUACUAAGAAAAACAACUCUUAAGAACUAUGAAUAAGUCUUGCUUGACCAAAAACACACAUAAACCAAAGAAAACCAUUGACGUCCAAGAAGCAAUCAGUACUUCGUUACUACUAUGCAAUAUAUAAAAGAAUAGAAUGGAAGGGCAUCAUAGCCAACUCUAUUAGAAGGAAAACUACAAAGAUGGCAUAUAUUUUUAUAACAAAUGCCAUAUAUGUAUAUUAGGAGCCUGAUAUUAGCACAUAUACAUAGUGACAAUAUAUUAUCAAAUAUAUAAUUGAAUUUUUCAUAAUAAAUCUGUAUCUGAACUUCAACUCUGAUAAUCUUUAAAUAUUUAAAGUGCAGAUCAGAAGCUCCAGUCAAAGUGAUACAUACAGAUGAUAAUUUUACGGGGUAAAAUCACUCUCUAUAUCAAAGAAUCUAUGGAUCUUCCAAAAUUUCAAAACUAAUUAUGUAUCUGAACUUAAAUUAGGCAUAUCACUACUUAUAAAUCUGAAACUACCUUUAAAAUCCCAUGAGAUUGUUGUAUGCAUUGAAAUCAAGUCUUACAUUAGAAUCACGAAAACUGGAUAUAAACAUGAAUGUAGUUUCACAAGUAUUACAUGAAGUUAAACAACAACCUGCAAAUCAUGAGAGCUGAUAAGCAUUCCAGCUAUGAUAGGAGGUAAAAGGGGAUAAGCACCAUAUAAAAGAAGCUUGGGUCAAUGCAACAGAUAGUGAAUGAAAAGUUUGUAAGCAGAAUGUACUCAUUUACCACCUAGACUUAGUUAACAAAAAUGAUUCACCAAUCAAACAUAAAGCUGACAUGGUAUGGUUCAUACUGUAGCAUCUCAGAAUUCGUCAGUAAGUAUACUUUUUUCCUCACAAAGCUCAUAGUGAUUCUGAAAUCAACGACAUAUGGCAACAUUAGAACAUUGCAUGUAUCGGAACCCAUAGUCCAGUAAUACAAUCUCUUUGAUCAUGCAUCUAUAUCGAAGAUCAUGAAGCAAUAAACAAUGUAACAUCCAAUAAAGUGAAAAUGCAGGUGUUGAGGGGUAAAGUUAUAAGAUUUUAUCAAUAUAAAAUUGUAAAAGAAUGCUUGAUAAAAGAAUCAUCUUAUCACAGACUCACUGAACUUAACUAUUAGAACUCUUACAGCAAAUUUCAACUUAUCAGCAAGUAGCAACUGAUGAUCAAGCACUUAGUCAUGAUCCCAUACAUAUGCGAUAAUUGAUAAUAAGAAUUUGUAGAUGCCGGUAAUUUCCGAUUAAAAAGGAUAAGUUGAAAUGAAUGAACUUGUGAUAUGCCAACAUGUCAACCAUUCAAGCACAAAGAUGGAAAACAGGCAGACAGAGAAUGUGAGUUACAAACAUUAAAAAAGUUCUUUUAGAUCAU